This 674-nucleotide ribosomal RNA is filed under the name Pantoea sp. Its description in RNAcentral is "bacterial SSU rRNA". It matches the Rfam family "Bacterial small subunit ribosomal RNA", at positions 763 to 1437 of the family's 1533-position model. Lineage: Bacteria; Pseudomonadati; Pseudomonadota; Gammaproteobacteria; Enterobacterales; Erwiniaceae. The record is from RNAcentral.
GGGGAGCAAACAGGAUUAGAUACCCUGGUAGUCCACGCCGUAAACGAUGUCGACUUGGAGGUUGUUCCCUUGAGGAGUGGCUUCCGGAGCUAACGCGUUAAGUCGACCGCCUGGGGAGUACGGCCGCAAGGUUAAAACUCAAAUGAAUUGACGGGGGCCCGCACAAGCGGUGGAGCAUGUGGUUUAAUUCGAUGCAACGCGAAGAACCUUACCUACUCUUGACAUCCACGGAAUUUGGCAGAGAUGCCUUAGUGCCUUCGGGAACCGUGAGACAGGUGCUGCAUGGCUGUCGUCAGCUCGUGUUGUGAAAUGUUGGGUUAAGUCCCGCAACGAGCGCAACCCUUAUCCUUUGUUGCCAGCGAUUCGGUCGGGAACUCAAAGGAGACUGCCGGUGAUAAACCGGAGGAAGGUGGGGAUGACGUCAAGUCAUCAUGGCCCUUACGAGUAGGGCUACACACGUGCUACAAUGGCGCAUACAAAGAGAAGCGACCUCGCGAGAGCAAGCGGACCUCAUAAAGUGCGUCGUAGUCCGGAUCGGAGUCUGCAACUCGACUCCGUGAAGUCGGAAUCGCUAGUAAUCGUGGAUCAGAAUGCCACGGUGAAUACGUUCCCGGGCCUUGUACACACCGCCCGUCACACCAUGGGAGUGGGUUGCAAAAGAAGUAGGUAGCUAA